Molecule: ribosomal RNA, 387 nt
Filed under: uncultured bacterium
Lineage: Bacteria
Description: bacterial SSU rRNA
Rfam family: Bacterial small subunit ribosomal RNA
Source: RNAcentral
GACGAACGCUGGCGGCGUGCUUAACACAUGCAAGUCGAACGGAAAGGCCCUGCUUUUGUGGGGUGCUCGAGUGGCGAACGGGUGAGUAACACGUGAGUAACCUGCCCUUGACUUUGGGAUAACUUCAGGAAACUGGGGCUAAUACCGGAUAGGAGCUCCUGCUGCAUGGUGGGGUUGGAAAGUUUCGGCGGUUGGGGGAUGGACUCGCGGCUUAUCAGCUUGUGGUGGGGUAGUGGCUUACCAAGGCUUUGACGGGUAGCCGGCCUGAGAGGGUGACCGGCCACAUUGGGGACUGAGAUACGGCCCAGACUCCUACGGGAGGCAGCAGUGGGGAAUAUUGCACAAUGGGCGGAAGCCUGAUGCAGCAACGCCGCGUGCGGGAUGACG